UACAGAGGUCUCAAGCGUUGUUCGGAUUCAUUGGGCGUAAAGGGUGCGUAGGCGGCGCGGUAAGUCGGGUGUGAAAUCUCGGAGCUUAACUCCGAAACUGCAUUCGAUACUGCCGUGCUUGAGGACUGGAGAGGAGACUGGAAUUUACGGUGUAGCGGUGAAAUGCGCAGAUAUCAGGAGGAACACCGGUGGCGAAGGCGGAUCUCUGGGCCAUUACUGACGCUGAGGAGCGAAAGCGUGGGGAGCGAACAGG
RNAcentral lists this ribosomal RNA (253 nucleotides) under uncultured bacterium. Its description in RNAcentral is "partial 16S ribosomal RNA". It matches the Rfam family "Bacterial small subunit ribosomal RNA", at positions 524 to 776 of the family's 1533-position model. The record is from RNAcentral.